This is a long non-coding RNA of Ailuropoda melanoleuca (giant panda), 1841 nucleotides long. RefSeq lists it as uncharacterized. The record is from RefSeq and is a predicted model, not a curated record. The transcript has 6 exons. NCBI's taxonomy places the organism in Eukaryota, Metazoa, Chordata, Mammalia, Carnivora, Ursidae.
GGGCCUGAUCACACAGGGGCUUAGCAGCUAUCAUAGUGAGGUUUGACCUUGUGCAAGGGAAAGCCACUGAAAGAUGGCAUGAUCAAGCCUCAGUUUCAGUAUCAUUCCUGCUGUCAUGUGGACAAUGAAGUAGAAGGAAUCACAGGAAAAACAGCAAAAGGAGGCAGAAGAUUAUUAUCAUCAGAGUGCUCGAGCUGGGAGAUGACAGUGCACUGAAUCAAUGGGGCUGGCGUGCAGACGGAGAGAAACGAAUGCGUUCAGUACACAGGGGGCUUGCUGAAGGAUAGAUGGCAAGGACCUGCAGUCCGUUCCUGGGUUUGGUGUCAUUUGCUGAGGUGAGAGAGAUUGAGGAGGCCAGAGCACACGCUGCAGUGGAAAUCAAAGGCUGAGUGCGCAGAUGUAUUCCUAGAUUGGGAGAAAAGUAUAAAGGCCUCAAGCACAGACAUGUGUCCUUGGCUUAAAGACGUCUUCAAGAAUCUGAGCUCUUUUGAGUCUUCAAUAAUUUGCCAUUUCAUGUUCUUUGUCUUUGGACUUUCCCUCAUGAGAGAUGGAAAAGGUUUGAGAAAUAUAAGCCUUGACUAAGCUGAACUUCCCAGCAGCAACCAAACUGUGAACAAGAAGGAAAUAUAGAGGAUUGUGGAUUAAAGUCCUGGCUCUGACACUACAAGCUAUAUGACAUUGGCUAAGUUAGCUAACCUCUUCAGUUGUAAAAUAAGGAUAAAAAGAUCACUAACUUCCUAAGACAGUUACAAAGGUGAAAUGAGAACAUGAACUCUAAAGGAAUUAACAUGCCAUUAUUCAGGAUAUUUUGGACAUAUGAUGCUUGAUAGACCAACAGAGAGCUUCGGUAUGGACUAUCUCGGAUGCGCUAAUGUUAAAGAAUCACACGAAGCCUAUCAUCGACCUUGAAUUCCCGGUACGUGUCAAGACAUACAGUUGGACCAUAGUACUUGAACCGACCUUGGGAAUUCUAGCCUUUGACAGGUGACAGAAGAUACAGGAUGGAUUGAAAUGAAAAAAUAGUAAUAUAGGAAGCAGCCAUAGUUAUGUGGUAGGCCUCAAAGUGCACUAUCAGAAUAAGGGUGCAUAAGAGUGGAAGAUCUCUGGCCACAAAAGAGUAAGAAGAUAAAUCCAAUACAUCAUCUUCACAGUAUUUCUUAUCAUUGUACAAUGAAUGGAUAUAAAUGUGAAUAUGAACUAUAAAUAUACCUUUAUUAAUGCAUUACCUUCAUUUCAUAUAUUUCUGCUGUUCAAUAAUAUUCUUAGAAUACUGUUUAGGAGUCUUAAUUACUCUUUAUUUCGUGUUUCUAUGUAACAGCUACAAAGGAAGAAUGAUAUAAAUGAAGACUGGUGACUCAAGUACCAUGAAUGUCACUGUCGUAGGUGACAUCAUUUUCAAGCAUAGUGAAUGGCUUUAAUAAAAUUUCAAGCUAAAUAAAGUCUUUCAUAGAUGUUCACGACAGUUACCUUUCUAGAAAAUACAGUCUAGGUAAAAAUUGUGCACAUUUCAAAUGAGGACAAAUCCUAGGCUCAGAUAAUUAUAAAUAAUAUUUCCCCUGUAUGGAUUUCUAUGGUAUACUCAAAAUUUGAGAAAAACAUAAGUGAAUUUACGUCAUUGUGUGGCACUAUCCUACUCGUUGCAAGGCCUGCUGCAUCCUGCUCCCCCUUAUUAAAUGCCAGUACUACCCCUUUGUAAUAUCAUUGUAACAAGACCACCCUUGAGAAUUUCCAAAAUGCCCCCUAGUGAGAGGUACUACCCCUCUCAAGAAAACUAGGCUUCUAUCUUUUUUGUUUAGCUUUAUAAUAAAUAAUGUAGGUAUACUUUCUAGUUGGUGUAUUUA